Molecule: ribosomal RNA, 460 nt
Filed under: uncultured bacterium
Lineage: Bacteria
Description: partial 16S ribosomal RNA
Rfam family: Bacterial small subunit ribosomal RNA
Source: RNAcentral
CCUACGGGUGGCAGCAGUGAGGAAUCUUGGUCAAUGGCCGCAAGGCUGAACCAGCCACGUCGCGUGAAGGAAGAAGGAUCUCUGGUUUGUAAACUUCUUUUAUAGGGGAAUAAAGGUAUCCAAGUGUGGGUAUUUGCAUGUACCCUAUGAAUAAGCAUCGGCUAACUCCGUGCCAGCAGCCGAGGUAAUACGGAGGAUGCGAGCGUUAUCCGGAUUUAUUGGGUUUAAAGGGUGCGUAGGUUGUUUUUUAAGUCAGCGGUGAAAGUGUUUGGCUCAACCUUAAAAUUGCCGUUGAAACUGGAAGACUUGAGUGUGUUUGAGGUAGGCGGAAUGCGUGGUGUAGCGGUGAAAUGCAUAGAUAUAACGCAGAACUCCGAUUGCGAAGGCAGCUUACUAAGCCAUAACUGACACUGAAGCACGAAAGCGUGGGGAUCGAACAGGAUUAGAUACCCGGGUAGUC